CGGACGGGUGAGUAAUGUCUGGGAAACUGCCUGAUGGAGGGGGAUAACUACUGGUAAACGGUAGCUAAUACCGCAUAACGUCGCAAGACCAAAGAGGGGGACCUUCGGGCCUCUUGCCAUCGGAUGUGCCCAGAUGGGAUUAGCUAGUAGGUGGGGUAACGGCUCACCUAGGCGACGAUCCCUAGCUGGUCUGAGAGGAUGACCAGCCACACUGGAACUGAGACACGGUCCAG
This 233-nucleotide ribosomal RNA is filed under the name uncultured bacterium. RNAcentral's name for it is "partial 16S ribosomal RNA". It matches the Rfam family "Bacterial small subunit ribosomal RNA", at positions 99 to 334 of the family's 1533-position model. The record is from RNAcentral.